Molecule: long non-coding RNA, 1296 nt
Filed under: Cyanistes caeruleus (blue tit)
Lineage: Eukaryota; Metazoa; Chordata; Aves; Passeriformes; Paridae
Description: lncRNA (ENSCCEG00000002229.1)
Source: RNAcentral
GGGGCUACGGGCGCAGUGAGCGCGGCCACCUACAGCACGGUGCCGCGGGUCGCCUUCUACGCCGGCCUCAAGAACCCCCACGAGGGCUACGAGGUCCUCAAGUUCGACGACGUGGUCACCAACCUGGGCAACAGCUACGACGCCGCCUCGGGCAAGUUCACCUGCGCCAUCCCCGGCACCUACUUCUUCACCUACCACGUCCUGAUGCGCGGCGGCGACGGCACCAGCAUGUGGGCCGACCUCUGCAAGAACGGGCAGGUAAGGGCUGCCCGUCCCGGCCCCCCCUGCGGGAGCGGGAGCUCUGCUGUCCCCGAGCACGGGAGAAGGGCUACGGGCGCUUCCACGGGGUGCCCCGUCCUUUCCUGGCCCCAGCGAUGUGUCCUCUGGGUGUUCCAUCCUCCUCCUGGCCCCAGGAAUGCACCUCCAGGUUGCCACAACCUCUUUGUGCUGAUGAUGGACUGCGGGUGCUUCCCCAGGGGCCAUGUCCUUUUCCCAGCCCCAGAGAUGCAUUCCCAGGGUGUCGCAUCCUUCUCCCAGUGGCAGUGAUGGGCUCUGGGUCCAUCCCCAGGGUGUCACGUCCUUUUCCCAGUGGCAGUGAUGGGCUCUGGGUCCAUCCCUGGCGUGCUAUAUCCUUCUCCCAGACACUGACAUGCACCUCUGGGGUGCUUUGUCCUUCUCCCAGUGGUGAAGAUGGGCUCUGUGUGCUCCCCCAGAAUGCCCUAUCCUUUUCCUGUACCCCCAGGAUGCUCCGUCCCUCUCUCGGUGACAAUGACGGGAUUUGGGUGCAUUUCCAGGGUGCCACAUCCCUCUCCUGGGAGCAGAGUUGUAACCCCAGGGUGCCCUGCUCUCCUCGCAGUGACGUGAUGGACUCUGGGUGCACCAAGGGGGGGCUCUGUCCUGCUCCCAUCUCUGGAGCUGCCUCCUCACUGUGCCCCAUCCUUCUCUCAGUGCUGGAGAUGCUCCCCCAGGAUGCUCCUUCCUCCAGUGGCAAUGACAGGCUCGGGAUUCGUCCCCAGGGUGCUCCCCGCGCUGAAGGAGCGCCCCAUGGGGUGCCCUGUCCUUCCCCAGAGCAGUGCAGGGCUCCGGGUGCGCCCCUGGGGUGUCCCAUCCUCCUCCGACUGCCAGACGCUGCCCCGCGUGCCCUGUCCCUCCCCCAGUGCUGGGGACAAUCGCCAUCAGCCCCUGACGUGUCCCCAGGGGCUCCCUCAGCUCUUUCCUUGGCCACGGAGAUGUUCCUUGUGGUGUUUUGGGGCACCCCCACAGCGCCCCCGGGGUCCCCCCGGCCAUGCCAUUGUC